AUUCCCNCAGUAAUGGCGAAUGAACAGGGUCACGCUCAGCAUCAAAAUCGGGGCCUGCGGGCCUGAGUUGUAGUCUCUGGAGGUGCUACCAAGAGAGGCGCUGCUGUACGUCUUUUGGAAACGAGCAUCGACGAGGGUGAGGGUCCCGUUUGUCAGCAGCAGCCAACUGUGCACGGUGCACAUUCUAAGAGUCACGUUCCUUGGGAUUGGAGCGCAAUGUGGGUGGUAAGCUUCAUCUCAAGCUACACAUGGGCUCGAGACCGAUAGCAAACAAGUACUAUGAGGGAAAGGUGAAAAGCACUUUGAAAAGAAAGGUAAAAGUACCUGAAAUCGCUGAAGAGGAAGUGAGCGAAGCCAGUAUGUCUUGGCGAGAUUGCUGCACACGCGUGCCAGUGCUUGCUGCGCCAGCACUUGUGUGGCAUUAAGCCCCGAGCAAGUCCUGCGCAGUGCUUCUUGCCUUGCCCACCAACGGCUCUCCAUGCUUGAGGACGCUUUCAAGGACACGGUAGCUCCACCCCAUGAAGCGAAUAUUUUUGUUUGCACUCAUGUGAGGGGUGCACGGAGAGCAAAUGGCUCCUCUCGACCCGUCUUGAAACACGGACCAAGGAGUCUAACCUGUGUGCAAGCUUGUGGCCGGGUAAGCCUUUGUGCACAAUCAAAGUGACUGCUGGGAAUUGUUGCACCAGCAACCGACCUGUCAAUUGAGAGAGGUUUGAGUGUGAGCAUAUUUGUUAGGACCCGAAAGAUGGUGAACUAUGCCUGUGAAGGGCAAACUCAGGGGAAACUCUGAUGGAGGCUCAUAGCGAUACUGACGUGCAAAUCGUUCGUCAUACAUGGGUAUAGGGGCGAAAGACUAAUCGAACCAUCUAGUAGCUGGUUCCCUCCGAAGUUUCCCUCAGGAUAGCUGGAGUU
This 912-nucleotide ribosomal RNA is filed under the name Peridinium willei. RNAcentral describes it as "LSU rRNA". It matches the Rfam family "Eukaryotic large subunit ribosomal RNA", at positions 74 to 989 of the family's 3401-position model. Lineage: Eukaryota; Dinophyceae; Peridiniales; Peridiniaceae. The record is from RNAcentral.